UAGAACUUAGCUAUUUGGAGAGCAGUGGCCUUCAAUGAAAUCCUGUUCACAGUGGCUAAGUUCAGU
RNAcentral lists this microRNA precursor (66 nucleotides) under Scyliorhinus torazame (cloudy catshark). Its description in RNAcentral is "Sto-Mir-27-P4_pre stem-loop". The record is from RNAcentral. Lineage: Eukaryota; Metazoa; Chordata; Chondrichthyes; Carcharhiniformes; Scyliorhinidae.